Molecule: non-coding RNA, 405 nt
Organism: Paramuricea clavata
Lineage: Eukaryota; Metazoa; Cnidaria; Anthozoa; Malacalcyonacea; Plexauridae
Source: the annotation of a GenBank genome assembly
CUUUAAAAUACUGACAAUUGAUUAAUUUUAAGCGGCUACAUUAUCCAUGAGAAACUGCAAAGAAUGAAGAUAUUUCUCAUACUUUCCUGCAACUUAUCCAAUAUAUGGUUAAUUAAAUACGCCUUCGCCCAUUUAGUGCUACUAAAUUGUAAAUUUUGACAUACUAAAAUGCAAUUUUCUGACCAUCACAAUUCUGUCAAAUCUUCCCUAAAGUCCAGGAAAUGGCAUUUCAGAGUCUCUAAAUUUAAAAUUCAGCUCCCCAAUGAAAAAGCACUUCCUACAGCACUGUAUUACCCCGAUAAAUUACCCUUUUUCUUUUUUGAACAACUUUUUACUACACUCUUAGCAGCGAAAAAUGGUAUGACCCCCACCUUCAGCCUCUUCGGCGCUCUGCAGCUUAAUGAG